Molecule: ribosomal RNA, 377 nt
Filed under: uncultured bacterium
Lineage: Bacteria
Description: bacterial SSU rRNA
Rfam family: Bacterial small subunit ribosomal RNA
Source: RNAcentral
AUCACUUGGGGAUUAACCUUGCGAAAGUAAGACUAAUACCCAAUGACGUCUCUAGAAGACAUCUGAAAGAGAUUAAAGAUUUAGUCGGUGAUGGAUGGGGAUGCGUCUGAUUAGCUUGUUGGCGGGUAACGGCCCNCAAGGCGACGAUCAGUAGGGGUUCUGAGAGGAAGGUCCCCCACAUUGGAACUGAGACACGGUCCAAACUCCUACGGGAGGCAGCAGUGAGGAAUAUUGGUCAAUGGACGAGAGUCUGAACCAGCCAAGUAGCGUGCAGGAUGACGGCCCUAUGGGUUGUAAACUGCUUUUAUAAGGGAAUAAAGUGAGUCUCGUGAGGCUUUUUGCAUGUACCUUAUGAAUAAGGACCGGCUAAUUCCGUG